GCGGGUCCCCUUUGUGACGUCUGCAUCUGCUUCCUGCCUCCAGGUUCUUGUCCUGACUUUCUUCAGUGAUCUACAGUGAUGUGGAGUGUAAGCCAGAUAAAUCCCUUCUUCUCCGGGUUCCUGUGGUCACGGUGUUACAUCACAGCAAUAGUAACCCUGACUUAGACCAGAUCCAGUGUCACCUUCUGCCUCUGAAGUCCCCAGUAUGUCCUGGAAAUUUUCAAUGACGGUUACUUUGAUUGUCAACUGGACUGGAUUGAGAGGUAGAUGCCUAGAAAACUGGUAAGUUUUUCAUAGUAAAAAGUAAAGCCAAAUGGAGCUACCGGUAAUGACGAAAGAUGUUGAAGUGAGCCGGGGACACACAAUUCUGUGGUAAAGCAACUGCCAAGCAUCUGAGAGGCCCCAACAUCACAAAACCGGUCAACUCAAGCAAGAAUCAACUAUAGUACAUCCUCUUCAGAGUCUCCGGGAAGGAAGCUGGCUUGCUACCAUCAUUGGUAUGUGGUUCCACAAAGAAGAACCAGUUCCAGAACCCUGGGAAAGCUGGGCUUCUAAUUCUGGUGAGUCUACACCCAAACCUCAAAUCCGAGGAAGGGAGGCUGAUUCUGGGGGUCAGGACUCGUGACCCCUGCCUGUUUUCAAACGUGUCGGUGGGGACUGAAUCUAAGAUCUCUCAUACUCCAGGCAAGUGCUCUUUACCCAACCACUUCUUUUUGAGUCAGAUUCUCAUUACGUUGCCCAAGCUAGCCUUGA
Long non-coding RNA from Mesocricetus auratus (golden hamster), 753 nucleotides. RefSeq lists it as uncharacterized. Lineage: Eukaryota; Metazoa; Chordata; Mammalia; Rodentia; Cricetidae. The transcript is spliced from 4 exons. The record is from RefSeq and is a predicted model, not a curated record.